GGGUAACCGGAAGGCAUAUUUAGUGGCGAACGGGUGAGUAAUGCAUGAGAACGUAUCCUCAAGAGGGGGACAACAUUGGGAAACCGAUGCUAAUACCCCAUAAGCCGGGAGGUAAAAGGAGCAAUCCGCUUGAGGAGCGGUUCAUGUCCUAUCAGCUAGUUGGUGAGGUAACGGCUCACCAAGGCGAAGACGGGUAGCCGGCCUGAGAGGGUGAACGGCCACACUGGAACUGAGAGACGGUCCAGACUCCUACGGGAGGCAGCAGUGGGGAAUAUUGGGCAAUGGGGGAAACCCUGACCCAGCGACGCCGCGUGAGGGAAGAAGGCCUUAGGGUCGUAAACCUCUGUUGUGUGGGAAGAAGAGCGUGACGGUACCACACGAGGAAGUCCCGGCUAACUACGUGCCAGCAGCCGCGGUAAUACGUAGGGGACGAGCGUUGUCCGGAUUUACUGGGCGUAAAGGGCGCGUAGGCGGUCAUUUAAGUCAGCUGUGAAAUGGUGCGGC
RNAcentral lists this ribosomal RNA (504 nucleotides) under uncultured Synergistota bacterium. RNAcentral's name for it is "bacterial SSU rRNA". It matches the Rfam family "Bacterial small subunit ribosomal RNA", at positions 77 to 608 of the family's 1533-position model. The record is from RNAcentral. Lineage: Bacteria; Thermotogati; Synergistota.